RNAcentral lists this ribosomal RNA (465 nucleotides) under Vreelandella stevensii. RNAcentral's name for it is "partial 16S ribosomal RNA". It matches the Rfam family "Bacterial small subunit ribosomal RNA", at positions 338 to 795 of the family's 1533-position model. The record is from RNAcentral. Lineage: Bacteria; Pseudomonadati; Pseudomonadota; Gammaproteobacteria; Oceanospirillales; Halomonadaceae.
CCUACGGGAGGCUGCAGUGGGGAAUAUUGGACAAUGGGCGAAAGCCUGAUCCAGCCAUGCCGCGUGUGUGAAGAAGGCCUUCGGGUUGUAAAGCACUUUCAGUGGGGAAGAAAGCCUUGGGGCUAAUACCCUCGAGGAAGGACAUCACCCACAGAAGAAGCACCGGCUAACUCCGUGCCAGCAGUCGCGGUAAUACGGAGGGUGCGAGCGUUAAUCGGAAUUACUGGGCGUAAAGCGCGCGUAGGCGGUCUGAUAAGCCGGUUGUGAAAGCCCCGGGCUCAACCUGGGAACGGCAUCCGGAACUGUCAGGCUAGAGUGCAGGAGAGGAAGGUAGAAUUCCCGGUGUAGCGGUGAAAUGCGUAGAGAUCGGGAGGAAUACCAGUGGCGAAGGCGGCCUUCUGGACUGACACUGACGCUGAGGUGCGAAAGCGUGGGUAGCAAACAGGAUUAGAUACCCUGGUAGUC